CGAAGCGCCGUCUACGCUAGUCGCCGUCUGCUGAGGACCCGCCCGUACGACACGGGGCGGGAGAGACGAGAGGA
This 74-nucleotide non-coding RNA is filed under the name bovine gut metagenome. RNAcentral's name for it is "aspS RNA". It matches the Rfam family "aspS RNA". The record is from RNAcentral.